Long non-coding RNA from Mesocricetus auratus (golden hamster), 675 nucleotides. RefSeq lists it as uncharacterized. The transcript has 2 exons. The record is from RefSeq and is a predicted model, not a curated record. NCBI's taxonomy places the organism in Eukaryota, Metazoa, Chordata, Mammalia, Rodentia, Cricetidae.
CGCCAUGUAGCUUCUGAGGAAGAAAGAGGCCCGGACAUUCUUGGAAAGCAUCAGAAGAUUCCAACGGGAGAGAAGAAUUACAAAUGUAAUGAAUGUUGCAAAGACUUUAUCCAGAAACAUCAUCUUAGGAUACAUCAGAUAAUUCAUACAGAAGAGAAGCUUUACACAUGCAAUGGAUGUGAGAAAUCCUUUACCUGUAGCUCACCCGUGUAAUGCCAGUGCUGCCUAAGGAAUGCAAUUUGAAUGAAACUCAAGAUACAGAGCUCAAGACACAAUUCAAAGUCAUUUCAACGAAGUCAAGGGACAUAAAGAAGAAACAGGAACGUGAAUUCAAAGAGGACAGGAACAAACUGACUGAAAGGCAAGGAACUCCAGCAAAUGGGUCAGGAAAUAAGGAAGAUAAUGCAGGAUGCAAACAUUGAAAUCUAGAGAGAGACAUCAAGGAAUUCCUAAAGUAGUGAAGUGAGACGUGAAUCCCUGAAGUAAUGAAACGAGAAAUGAAGAACUCUGCAAGCCUAAUACAACUCAAUAGAGCCUAUCCACCAGGAUACAGGCAAACAUCAGAGUUUCAAUACAAGGCUAAGGAGCUGGAUUACUCAAAAAAAAAAUAUAUAUAUGCAUACAUAUAUACAUAUAUAUGUAUAUGUCAAACAAAUAAACUAAAUUCUUGCUGCA